This 916-nucleotide ribosomal RNA is filed under the name Ornithinibacillus sp. MRSA149bB15_13_3E. RNAcentral's name for it is "bacterial SSU rRNA". It matches the Rfam family "Bacterial small subunit ribosomal RNA", at positions 56 to 940 of the family's 1533-position model. Lineage: Bacteria; Bacillati; Bacillota; Bacilli; Caryophanales; Bacillaceae. The record is from RNAcentral.
UGCAAGUCGAGCGAGUGAAAUUAAUUGAUCCCUUCGGGGUGACGUUAAUGGAUCUAGCGGCGGACGGGUGAGUAACACGUGGGCAACCUGCCUGUAAGACUGGGAUAACUCGCGGAAACGCGAGCUAAUACCGGAUAACACUUCGAACCACAUGGUUUGAAGAUGAAAGGCGGCGCAAGCUGUCACUUACAGAUGGGCCCGCGGCGCAUUAGCUAGUUGGUGAGGUAACGGCUCACCAAGGCGACGAUGCGUAGCCGACCUGAGAGGGUGAUCGGCCACACUGGGACUGAGACACGGCCCAGACUCCUACGGGAGGCAGCAGUAGGGAAUCUUCCGCAAUGGACGAAAGUCUGACGGAGCAACGCCGCGUGAGUGAUGAAGGUUUUCGGAUUGUAAAACUCUGUUGUUAGGGAAGAACAAGUACAAUAGUAACUGAUUGUACCUUGACGGUACCUAACCAGAAAGCCCCGGCUAACUACGUGCCAGCAGCCGCGGUAAUACGUAGGGGGCAAGCGUUGUCCGGAAUUAUUGGGCGUAAAGCGCGCGCAGGCGGUCCUUUAAGUCUGAUGUGAAAGCCCACGGCUUAACCGUGGAGGGUCAUUGGAAACUGGAGGACUUGAGUGCAGAAGAGGAGAGUGGAAUUCCACGUGUAGCGGUGAAAUGCGUAGAGAUGUGGAGGAACACCAGUGGCGAAGGCGACUCUCUGGUCUGUAACUGACGCUGAGGCGCGAAAGCGUGGGGAGCGAACAGGAUUAGAUACCCUGGUAGUCCACGCCGUAAACGAUGAGUGCUAGGUGUUAGGGGGUUUCCGCCCCUUAGUGCUGAAGUUAACGCAUUAAGCACUCCGCCUGGGGAGUACGGCCGCAAGGCUGAAACUCAAAAGAAUUGACGGGGGCCCGCACAAGCGGUGGAGCAU